Molecule: long non-coding RNA, 441 nt
Filed under: Medicago truncatula (barrel medic)
Lineage: Eukaryota; Viridiplantae; Streptophyta; Magnoliopsida; Fabales; Fabaceae
Description: lncRNA gene24497
Source: RNAcentral
CAUUAUUUUAAGCUUUUUAAUGUCUUUCUUGCUUAUGCUAAAUGUGGUAAUAUGAUGUUCUUAGAGUUGGAAAUCAUUUCUAUUUUGUUCAACAGUUGAGGCAGAGUAGCUGGGAAUACACGGUGUUGUAGUGGCAGUGUUUUGAAGACCAAUCAUUGAAUUUUGAUUCUUGUGAUCCAUUUCUAGACCGCAACCCAAGAAAUCUGAAAGAAAGACUUGAUCGAAUUGGCUUUUUAAGAUAUGGUGUUUGCCAUUAUAUUCUUCCUUUUCCUUUUUCUUCUUUUCUUUUUUAUUUUUUGGUGAAAUUUUCUUUCUUUUAACUCUUCUUAUCUUGGAUAUUGAUAUAAUUGAUUACACCAUUAAAGCAAAUAUUCUCUUUGGAAUAAUUUCUUUGAGACUUUUGUCCAAGAGUGAGCCAUUUAGAUUGCUUUCAUAAUGCAA